AUUGAACGCUGGCGGCAUGCUUUACACAUGCAAGUCGAACGGUAACAGGCCUUCGGGUGCUGACGAGUGGCGCACGGGUGAGUAAUGCAUCGGAACGUGCCCAGAGGUGGGGGAUAACGCAGCGAAAGCUGUGCUAAUACCGCAUGUGAUCUGAGGAUGAAAGCGGGGGACCAGGCAGCAAUGUUUGGCCUCGCGCCUUUGGAGCGGCCGAUGUCAGAUUAGGUAGUUGGGGGGGUAAAGGCCUACCAAGCCGACGAUCUGUAGCUGGUCUGAGAGGACGACAGGCCACACUGGGACUGAGACACGGCCAAGACUCCUACGGGAGGCAGCAGUGGGGAAUUUUGGACAAUGGGCGCAAGCCUGAUCCAGCAAUGCCGCGUGCGGGAAGAAGGCCUUCGGGUUGUAAACCGCUUUUGUACGGAACGAAAAGGCUCUGGCUAAUACCUGGGGCUGAUGACGGUAACGUAAGAAUAAGCACCGGCUAACUACGUG
Molecule: ribosomal RNA, 492 nt
Filed under: uncultured bacterium
Lineage: Bacteria
Description: partial 16S ribosomal RNA
Rfam family: Bacterial small subunit ribosomal RNA
Source: RNAcentral